GUGCGAGAGAUGGUUGCAACAUCAACUAGAUUGCCUCCUAUUCAACGGUUGAUUGAGAUCAAAAGUGUGGCAGAGCAACUGCAUUUCAAGAUUUCUACAUUGUUGAUGCAUGGUGGAAAACUUGCUGAAGCAAUUGCCUGGUUCCGCCAGCACUAUGCUUCUUACAGGAAGCUUGUUGGAGCACCAGAAGUUAUUUUCCUUCACUGGCAAUGGUUAAGCCGGCAAUUUCUAGUAUUUGCUGAAUUACUAGAGACAAG
Molecule: unclassified non-coding RNA, 257 nt
Filed under: Hevea brasiliensis (rubber tree)
Lineage: Eukaryota; Viridiplantae; Streptophyta; Magnoliopsida; Malpighiales; Euphorbiaceae
Source: RNAcentral